UCGUAAGUAAAGUUGGGUGGAUGGCCUUAGUGCCGGAUAUCCUUUUCAAGUAUGAAAACGAAAAGAGUAUGUUCAUGGUCUAAUGACCGGUUCAUCAUUCCUAAGCUAUUAUAUGUACUUUGGAAUUGUUGUGAUAACAUGAGAAGUACUAGUCAAAUGUUUCAUAGUGCUUCAUAGAUAAUUGUUCGGAUAUGAAAAUAAAGCAUGUAAUUGUUAAUGUGAUAUUCAUAUUAUUCUUUGUUAAGACUUUCUGAGCUAGUUAUGCUCAUUCUUGCUUGAACCAUAUGUUUGCAGCUAAAGCCGAAUGAACUAAGAGUUCUAUGAGAGAUAAAGGCAAGGCAAAGAUGGACAAUUAGUCGUCCUGUAAUAGACUAGUGUAUUGUAUGUAAUAUACUCAUGAAGAACAACGAAUGUAUUUGGUUAAUGAACCUGGGAAAGGAUUUAUUACAAAUGUAAUAUAAAGAUAGUAAUUACACUCAUUUUGUUGUUAUCUCAAUGGAAUGAUUAUAUGGAUUGUAGUAUCGUGGAGCACCAUCUGUCGGGUUGGAAGAUACCCGAAUUUGGGGGUGUCACAUUAAUGAUGUCGAGACAUAUUAUAUGUAGCAUCCCCAAAAUCGGGACAAUUUCUCUCCCCGAUCUUGUGCGUUAAUAUUAU
This 655-nucleotide long non-coding RNA is filed under the name Panax ginseng (ginseng). RNAcentral's name for it is "long non-coding RNA (PGIN_LNC012511)". Lineage: Eukaryota; Viridiplantae; Streptophyta; Magnoliopsida; Apiales; Araliaceae. The record is from RNAcentral.